Molecule: ribosomal RNA, 333 nt
Filed under: uncultured Bacillota bacterium
Lineage: Bacteria; Bacillati; Bacillota
Description: bacterial SSU rRNA
Rfam family: Bacterial small subunit ribosomal RNA
Source: RNAcentral
GACGAACGCUGGCGGCGUGCCUAAUACAUGCAAGUCGAGCGAAUGACGAGGAGCUUGCUCCUUUGAUUUAGCGGCGGACGGGUGAGUAACACGUGGGUAACCUACCCUAUAGACUGGGAUAACUUCGGGAAACCGGAGCUAAUACCGGAUAAUACUUUGAAACACAUGUUUUGAAGUUGAAAGAUGGUUUCGGCUAUCACUAUAGGAUGGACCCGCGGCGCAUUAGCUAGUUGGUGAGGUAACGGCUCACCAAGGCAACGAUGCGUAGCCGACCUGAGAGGGUGAUCGGCCACACUGGGACUGAGACACGGCCCAGACUCCUACGGGAGGCAG